Molecule: long non-coding RNA, 661 nt
Organism: Trichoplusia ni (cabbage looper)
Lineage: Eukaryota; Metazoa; Arthropoda; Insecta; Lepidoptera; Noctuidae
Exons: 4
Source: RefSeq, a predicted model, not a curated record
AAACUGUCACCGAUCAGAAUAAACACGUCAAGGACGUGUAGUUCAAAUAUCAACAAAUUAUCGCGACUGCCGACUAUACCUAGUACACAGUCAUCCUGGCCGCGGUUAUUUAACAGCUGGGGGGGAAAUCAUCGUUAAUGUCCUAGCGACAGUGCUGGGCGCUUGUUGUGGGCACUGCGGUUAGUGAGGGCGACAUGAAUAUCAUACGAAAUAUUACCGCGGUUGCUGUCCCGAGGCUCAGUAGGGGCUUUUCGGCAUCUUCUGUAAAAAAUGCGAAAUACUCCUGUAAACUACUGGUGGUGGGGGGAGGGUCAGGAGGUUGCACAAUGGCUGCUAAGUUUGCCCGCAGAUUUCCAAAAGAUGCAGUGAUUGUUCUUGAACCAAGCAAGGAACAUUACUACCAGCCGCUAUGGACGCUAGUCGGCGGUGGCGAGUUUCAAGGUCAAAGAUACGGUCCGGCUGGAAGCAGACGUACUGCCUAAGAAGGCGAAGUGGGUCCAGGACUAUGCUGAGGAAGUCGUGCCCGGAGACAACCUCGUCAAGACUAGGGAAGGCCACGAAAUCCAUUACGAGUACAUCAUCAUUGCCGUCGGGAUCGAUAAUGCUUAUGAGAAGGUACCGGGACUGUUGGAGGCUCUAGAAGACAAGAACAGCGCUGUAU